AUGAACGCUAGCGGCAGGCUAAUACAUGCAAGUUGAGGGGCAGCAUGGAUAUACGCGAGUUAUUGGAUGGCGACCGGCGGACGGGUGAGUAAUAGGUAGGAGACCUACCUCAUACAGGGGGAUAGCAUAGAGAAAUCUGUGGUAAUACCCCCAUGAGGUUAUAUGAAUAGAGGCAUAUAAUCAAAGCAUAAGCGAUUAUGCGGUAUGAGAGGGGCCUACUGACCAUUAGCUAGUUGGUGAGGUAAGGGCUCACCAAGGCGAAGAUGGUUAGGGGUUUUGAGAGAGAGACCCCCCACAUUGGAACUGAGAGACGGUCCAGACUCCUACGGGAGGCAGCAGUAGGGAAUAUUGGGCAAUGGGCGAAAGCCUGACCCAGCCAUGCCGCGUGAAGGAAGACGGCCUUAUGGGUUGUAAACUUCUUUACUACGCGAAUAGAGGUUAGUACGAGAUACUAAUAGGAAGGUAGUGUAGUAAAAAGCACCGGCUAACUCCGUG
Molecule: ribosomal RNA, 495 nt
Filed under: uncultured bacterium
Lineage: Bacteria
Description: bacterial SSU rRNA
Rfam family: Bacterial small subunit ribosomal RNA
Source: RNAcentral